This 253-nucleotide ribosomal RNA is filed under the name uncultured bacterium. Its description in RNAcentral is "partial 16S ribosomal RNA". It matches the Rfam family "Bacterial small subunit ribosomal RNA", at positions 524 to 776 of the family's 1533-position model. The record is from RNAcentral.
UACGGGGGGGGCAAGCGUUGUUCGGAAUUACUGGGCGUAAAGGGCUGGUAGGCGGCCAACUAAGUCGGAUGUGAAAUCCCCAGGCUUAACCUGGGAACUGCAUCCGAUACUGGUCGGCUUGAGAUUGGGAGAGGGAUGCGGAAUUCCAGGUGUAGCGGUGAAAUGCGUAGAUAUCUGGAGGAACACCGGUGGCGAAGGCGGCAUCCUGGACCAACACUGACGCUGAGGAGCGAAAGCCAGGGGAGCAAACGGG